This 500-nucleotide ribosomal RNA is filed under the name uncultured bacterium. RNAcentral's name for it is "partial 16S ribosomal RNA". It matches the Rfam family "Bacterial small subunit ribosomal RNA", at positions 30 to 523 of the family's 1533-position model. The record is from RNAcentral.
AUUGAACGCUGGCGGCAUGCCUUACACAUGCAAGUCGAACGGCAGCACGGGAGCAAUCCUGGUGGCGAGUGGCGAACGGGUGAGUAAAGUAUCGGAACGUGCCCAGUCGUGGGGGAUAACGUAGCGAAAGUUACGCUAAUACCGCAUACGAUCUCUGGAUGAAAGCGGGGAAUCGCAAGACCUGGCGCGAUUGGAGCGGCCGAUAUCAGAUUAGGUAGUUGGUGGGGUAAAGGCUCACCAAGCCGACGAUCUGCAGCUGGUCUGAGAGGACGACCAGCCACACUGGGACUGAGACACGGCCCAGACUCCUACGGGAGGCAGCAGUGGGGAAUUUUGGACAAUGGGCGAAAGCCUGAUCCAGCCAUGCCGCGUGCAGGAUGAAGGCCUUCGGGUUGUAAACUGCUUUUGUACGGAACGAAAAGGUUUGGCCUAAUAAGCUGAGCUCAUGACGGUACCGUAAGAAUAAGCACCGGCUAACUACGUGCCAGCAGCCGCCGUAA